GCUUCUGGGAUAGCUCAGUUAGUAGAGCAUGAGACUCUUAAUCUCAUGGUCAUGGGUUCGAACGUCACGUUGGGCA
Molecule: non-coding RNA, 76 nt
Organism: Podarcis lilfordi (Lilford's wall lizard)
Lineage: Eukaryota; Metazoa; Chordata; Lepidosauria; Squamata; Lacertidae
Source: the annotation of a GenBank genome assembly